Molecule: ribosomal RNA, 295 nt
Filed under: Nanos manomboensis
Lineage: Eukaryota; Metazoa; Arthropoda; Insecta; Coleoptera; Scarabaeidae
Also listed under: 1 other name
Description: partial 28S ribosomal RNA
Rfam family: Eukaryotic large subunit ribosomal RNA
Source: RNAcentral
GCAUGUGCGCGAGUCAUUGGGACUCUGUUAAACCUAAAGGCGCAAUGAAAGUAAAGGUCCGCCUCGCGCGGACCGAGGGAGGAUGGGCCCGUCCACGGACGGGCCCCGCACUCCCGGGGCGUCUCGUCCUCAUCGCGAGGAGAGGCGCACCCAGAGCGUACACGCUGGGACCCGAAAGAUGGUGAACUAUGCCUGGUCAGGACGAAGUCAGGGGAAACCCUGAUGGAGGUCCGUAGCGAUUCUGACGUGCAAAUCGAUCGUCGGAACUGGGUAUAGGGGCGAAAGACUAAUCGAA